GCACCUAUGCCCGUGGAUUCCUUGACAAAUUCCUCUGGAAAAUCUUCAGUUCCUCUUCCUGUUGGCAGCCCUAACAUGAGGUUUACCCCAGCAGAACCCAACUAUAAUCAUAUUGCUUCUGCUGUUUCUUUGUCAAGAAAUUUUAAGGGAAUGAAAAACCUGCAAUGGGAAGAUCGGUAUCAUCAGUUGCAAAUUCUACUGAAGAAAUUAGAUGAAUCAGAUCAGGAGGAUUAUGUGCAGAUGCUUCGUUCGCUUUCCUCAGUUGAGCUUAGCAGGCAUGCGGUUGAAUUGGAGAAGAGGUCCAUUCAACUUUCAUUGGAAGAAGCAAAAGAGGUGCAACGUGUUGGGGUUCUAAAUGUACUGGGGAAGUCCUUGAAGAACGUUAAAGCAUCUGCAGCUUGUCAAAGCCAACUAUAGAAGUUAAGAGUAAUGUUACUGUCAUAAGUUCCUUUGGCUGAUAACGGAAAUAUGCCUCAAGGCACUUGUAUCUUUCUUCCUUUAACCAUAACUGCAGUAUUGGCUUCAGUUUAAAUGCGCACAAGUUGUUGACAGUAUUGAUUUCCAGAUAUAUUGUAAUGAAGUGCUAUAAAUAGUAGUUCUCAUUUCUUUCUUCCUAUUUUGGUUUCUAGCAGGUUUCACUUGUAAUUUGUAGUAAUUUUUAACAUUGUAAUCAUUUUGAAAACAAUGUUUUUUUUUCAAGGGGUUGAUGGAAACC
RNAcentral lists this unclassified non-coding RNA (715 nucleotides) under Hevea brasiliensis (rubber tree). Lineage: Eukaryota; Viridiplantae; Streptophyta; Magnoliopsida; Malpighiales; Euphorbiaceae. The record is from RNAcentral.